Molecule: ribosomal RNA, 489 nt
Filed under: uncultured bacterium
Lineage: Bacteria
Description: partial 16S ribosomal RNA
Rfam family: Bacterial small subunit ribosomal RNA
Source: RNAcentral
AAUGAACGCUGGCGGCAUGCCUUACACAUGCAAGUCGAACGGCAGCAUGACCUAGCUUGCUAGGUUGAUGGCGAGUGGCGAACGGGUGAGUAAUGCAUCGGAACGUGCCUUUUAGUGGGGGAUAACGUAGCGAAAGUUACGCUAAUACCGCAUAUUCUCUGAGGAGGAAAGCAGGGGGCCUUCGGGCCUUGCGCUAGAAGAGCGGCCGAUGUCGGAUUAGCUAGUUGGUGAGGUAAAGGCUCACCAAGGCAACGAUCCGUAGCGGGGCUGAGAGGAUGAUCCGCCACACUGGGACUGAGACACGGCCCAGACUCCUACGGGAGGCAGCAGUGGGGAAUUUUGGACAAUGGGCGCAAGCCUGAUCCAGCCAUGCCGCGGGAGUGAAGAAGGCCUUCGGGUUGUAAAGCUCUUUCGGCUGGGAAGAAAUCGCACUCUCUAAUACAGGGUGUGGAUGACGGUACCAGCAUAAGAAGCACCGGCUAACUACGU